UGCAUUAUGUAACAUCAUAUAAAGUAAUCUCCUGCCCAGUGAAAAUUUUUUUAACGGCCGCGGUAUCCUAACCGUGCAAAGGUAGCAUAAUAAUUUGCCCAUUAAUUGUGGGCUUGAAUGAAUGGAGAAACGAAAUAAGGGCUGUCUCAUAAAUUUCUAUAAAAACUAGCUUAUAAGUGAAGAGACUUAUAUAAUAUUAAAGGACAAGAAGACCCUAUAGAGCUUUAUUAUCAUCUUAUUCAAUAUAAAAUAUAAUUAGGUUGGGGCGACCAUGGAUAAAAUCAUCCACAAUUACAAAGAUAUACAUAUCAAUCAAAAGAUCCAAAAAAAUGAUUAUAGAAUCAAGCUACCUUAGGGAUAACAGGCUAAUCUUAUUAAAGAGUUCAUAUCGACAAUAAGGAUUGGCACCUCGAUGUUGGCUUAGAAUAUCUCUAUAGCGCAAAAGUUAUAAGAAGAAGGUUUGUUCAACCUUUAAUAUUC
RNAcentral lists this ribosomal RNA (480 nucleotides) under Marionina clavata. RNAcentral describes it as "partial 16S ribosomal RNA". It matches the Rfam family "Bacterial large subunit ribosomal RNA", at positions 1817 to 2596 of the family's 2925-position model. Lineage: Eukaryota; Metazoa; Annelida; Clitellata; Enchytraeida; Enchytraeidae. The record is from RNAcentral.